GUAGUGCUCACUUGGGCUUUACCUGUACUAAAAUCAGAACAAUACAGAGAAGAUUAGCAUGGCCCCCUGUGCAAAGGUGAAACCCAAUGUAACCCUACUUCCU
Molecule: small nuclear RNA, 103 nt
Organism: Lepus europaeus (European hare)
Lineage: Eukaryota; Metazoa; Chordata; Mammalia; Lagomorpha; Leporidae
Source: RefSeq, a predicted model, not a curated record